Molecule: unclassified non-coding RNA, 348 nt
Filed under: soil metagenome
Description: partial contains 5.8S ribosomal RNA, internal transcribed spacer 2, and large subunit ribosomal RNA
Rfam family: 5.8S ribosomal RNA (bases 1-120)
Source: RNAcentral
GAUGAAGAACGUAGCGAAAUGCGAUAAGUAAUGUGAAUUGCAGAAUUCAGUGAAUCAUCGAAUCUUUGAACGCACAUUGCGCCCGCCAGUAUUCUGGCGGGCAUGCCUGUCUGAGCGUCAUUUCAACCCUCAUGCCCCUAGGGCGUGGUGUUGGGGAUCGGCCAAAGCCCGCGAGGGACGGCCGGCCCCUAAAUCUAGUGGCGGACCCGUCGUGGCCUCCUCUGCGAAGUAGCGAUAUUCCGCAUCGGAGAGCGAUGAGCCCCUGCCGUUAAACCCCCAACUUUCCAAGGUUGACCUCAGAUCAGGUAGGAAUACCCACUGAACUUAAGCAUAUCAAUAAGCGGAGGA